GCGGGCGGAUGGGUAGAAGAAGGAGGCUCCCAGAGCCUCCUGAGGCCCCCUCCCCUCCCCCAGCCAGGCACAGCCUGAGAAACGUUGACGGGUGACGGCACAGCUGCCAAACCGAUUUUUUCUCUCUCUUCGCCUGAGCCGCCUCUCGGAACUCUCUGUAGGCGCAAGAUGCGGCUGGUCUGGGAUAACUGCGCUGUGCGCAAUGCUUCAGGGGAGCGUUAACAUGAAACUGCAGGCUAAGGAGUCGCCUAGUAAAAUAAAAGGCUCGGGAAAAGCCUAAGAGAGCACUGAUGGGCCCUGGGAAGCCCCAGGGAUGCUACAGAAAAGAGCCUGGCUUUUUUCAGGCACCUCCUCAGAGCAGAGAAAUGGCUUACCCCGGCCUGCGGGAGAAUGGGUGCUAUUAAUAACAGCCUUUCCUUACCACGGGCAUUGCGAAAGCAGAAGGGACUAGAGAGGAUGCGUAGCAGGUUAUGGACUCUCUGCAAAGUUUAAGCGAACAACAGUCCCCUCUUAAAGUAGAACCGGUUUUGUCCUAAGUAAUAGAUGAACGUGGCUGUGAGUAACGUGAAGAGAAGCGGUUGCGUCUGUCACCCUCGGGGCCUCGGGGAAGUAGCGUCUAAAACCCGGUACCCUCGUGGCCUCGUCAGCCUUCUCGGUCUGUCUGGCAGGGUAGUCCCCGGAAGGGGGCAUCUCCAAGAGAAGCGGCUAGACCCAGCGACCCAGCCGUUCGCUUUGGUCGCCGCCUGUGAGGCGAGCAUCCGAGCGCAACGGGAGUCCGUAUCAAAAAGAGCUGGAACCAACGACAGCAAAUGCUGACGGAGAGGGAAGCCGGACGAGCGGCAUGUAGGGGAUUAAUACCUAAGGGACGGGGUUGAAACGAGGAGGCAGAAACGCAGCGGACCCUCGGUAUCCCCGGCAGCUGCCACGGUAGCGGCAGGUGUUCCGCCACGGGCAAGUCAAGCAGGGAACGACGACGGGCUGUCGUGAAGAACUACAGGCUGCCGCCCUCCGACCUCGGCAGGUGAUGCGACGAGAGCAGCCGGGAGAAUCCGAAUGCCGGUUUUGGCAGGUUCUCUGCCUGGUGCUGACGAGGAGCCUUUGACAGCAGGAAGGUUGGCAGCGUCCGUACCUGAACCGUGGAGUACACACCUGCUUCUAGUCUCAGUUGAAGGACGGGUCGCCUAGCUCAGCGUCUAACAAACCCCACAACCGGCGGCCCGGUCGCUAUGGCGCUGCUGUUGCUAGCAGAGCCACCAGGUCUGUGUGAAGCCUUAGGUGC
Molecule: long non-coding RNA, 1279 nt
Organism: Rhea pennata
Lineage: Eukaryota; Metazoa; Chordata; Aves; Rheiformes; Rheidae
Exons: 4
Source: RefSeq, a predicted model, not a curated record